CUCGUAGGCGGCCAACUAAGUCGGACGUGAAAUCCCCAGGCUCAACCUGGGAACUGCGUCCGAUACUGGAUGGCUUGAAUUCGGGAGAGGGAUGCAGAAUUCCAGGUGUAGCGGUGAAAUGCGUAGAUAUCUGGAGGAAUACCGGUGGCGAAGGCGGCAUCCUGGACCGACAUUGACGCUGAGGAGCGAAAGCUAGGGGAGCAAACG
This 207-nucleotide ribosomal RNA is filed under the name uncultured bacterium. Its description in RNAcentral is "partial 16S ribosomal RNA". It matches the Rfam family "Bacterial small subunit ribosomal RNA", at positions 568 to 774 of the family's 1533-position model. The record is from RNAcentral.